This 253-nucleotide ribosomal RNA is filed under the name uncultured bacterium. RNAcentral describes it as "partial 16S ribosomal RNA". It matches the Rfam family "Bacterial small subunit ribosomal RNA", at positions 524 to 776 of the family's 1533-position model. The record is from RNAcentral.
UACGAAGGGGGCUAGCGUUGCUCGGAAUCACUGGGUUUAAAGGGUGCGUAGGAGGGCAGGUAAGUCAGUGGUGAAAUCUCCAAGCUUAACUUGGAAACUGCCGUUGAUACUAUCUGUCUUGAAUAUUGUGGAGGUGAGCGGAAUAUGUCAUGUAGCGGUGAAAUGCUUAGAUAUGACAUAGAACACCAAUUGCGAAGGCAGCUCGCUACUCAAUUAUUGACUCUGAGGCACGAAAGCGUGGGGAUCAAACAGG